CACACUCAGCUUCAGGGAUCCUUUCUAUAGUUCAUUACUAGAGAAGUUUCUUUGACUGUAGAGUACUGGAAAUCACGAGGAGGAGGUUCUCUCCUGAGUGUGAAACCAACUCUUAGUUUGGGUUUGCAACAACUGCCACUUGCCAUUGAUGAUUGUUCUUGCUGUCUUUCGGGUAGCUGGGGGGAGAGGACACAGUCUGAGUGGC
Small nucleolar RNA from Jaculus jaculus (lesser Egyptian jerboa), 205 nucleotides. Its record names the gene U3. It matches the Rfam family "Small nucleolar RNA U3". Rfam says of the family: Small nucleolar RNAs (snoRNAs) are involved in the processing and modification of rRNA in the nucleolus. There are two main classes of snoRNAs: the box C/D class, and the box H/ACA class. The record is from Ensembl. Lineage: Eukaryota; Metazoa; Chordata; Mammalia; Rodentia; Dipodidae.